ACUUCCUCUUCUUGCUGAUGCGUGGUUCACGCGUGGCAUCAUGCUCUGAUACCUCCCCAGAUACAGCUUUCUGCCUCUCCUGCUACCAGGGCACCGUACCUAUUCUGAAACUGUGGACCUGUAGGUGGAGAAGGAACUGCUGUCCAUGUGCCAGAAGUCAUGUUAGUUAUUUUCAUCUCAUAAUUUCUAAUCACUAUUGCAUUCAGCAUCACACCAGCUUGUCUCCAGAUGCCAGGACUUUUAGGACACACUGAUUUGCUCUUCAUUUUUUGGUGUGACAGCUGUGCAUGGUGAUCCAGAACGUGGCUUGUCUUUUACGUCACUGUAGUCACUGCUGAAAUGCACUACCCGCAGCCUCCCUGUUCAGCAAGUACUGAUGAAUGUCAGUGAGUGCAAGUUUUUCCUCAUGGAGAAAUUCACUGACACGCUUUUGCUUCAUCCACACUCCCAAAUCAGACACCACUGCGUCAGACUGCCCCGCUGCUGCCAUCUGUCACACAGCAACCACGUGUAACAGAAUACUGGCGGGAAGGCUCAACCUCUACUGCCAUACCACCCAUAUUCGCCUCUGACAUCAUGGGCCAACAUCAUAAAAUAGGAAGCGUUACUUUCAGAGCUUCCCUCAGAGAUAGAAUCUUCAAGAUGAUUAACAUAAGAAAGGAGGCAGAUAACAGCAUGUCAGAGAAGAGUGAGGGCUGGCUGCUCCCUGAAGUACAGAGAUCCUGGAGUCAAGAGCAGUAGUACUGCCAAGAAGGUAAGGGUCUCACCAGCAAGAGACCAGCUCCCAAUUCCCAGACGGUGCAAACAAAGCAAGCCCAAUGAUGGUGGCUGGGUUUCACAAGAAGUCUGGGGUGGAAUGUGGAUUUAUUCAGUAGAAUAAUGUAAUUGGUUUUGUUCACAAUUUCCUAAUUUAAUUCUUUUUGGCCUUCCUUUGAGCAUUAGUUUUCACCAAGAACAACUGUCAAUAGUUACAUGAUUACUUUCAGGGGCAUUGAUAGCUUAUUGUUAUAUGUAGUUUGCUCUAAAAGUAAUGCCUCCUAUUUAUUUCCAUGGAAACCACAAAGCACACAAUAAUGCUGUUUGACAGAGUAAAUUCUCAGCUACAAAACACUUUUUUUCAACAGAAUCACCACCAUUAGCUAUUCAUUUUCAGCAGCGAUGAACAAGAGUCAGCAUGCUCUGCUCAUAAAAAUCUGCAUGACCAUCCGGAACAUGGCUUGUCUGUUAGAUCACUGUCACCACUGCCGAAAUGCACCACCCAUCACCUCACUGUGCUCACAUCCACUGUUUGGUCUACAUAAACAUUCAGCAAACAUUGAUGAAUGUCAGCAGGUGCCAUUUUUUUUCCACAUGGAAGAAUUCAGUUUCACACUUUUGCUUCAUCCACACUUUGUCAGGAGCCAUUUUGUCAGACUGUCCCUCUGCUGCCAUCCGUCACACAGCAACAAAGUGUAAUGAAGUAUUGGUGGGAAGGUUCAACCUCAACUGCCAUGCCACCAACAUUCACUUCUGACACUGUCGGCCAACAUCAUAAAAUAGGAGGCAUUACUUUUGGAGCAGCUGUUGUAUAUAAGCAAUCAGGUUAGUUUCCUGCUCCCUUUUCUGCAGUUUUGUGGUUAAUAACACUGAAAUUUCUCUGCCAUUUUGUAAUACAGUCAUUUUGCAUACUAAGAUUUUUUUUUUCAUUUUUCUUGUCAUCAGCUUUAGUUUUGACUAUUGUGAAUGAUUUUGGCUUCUUAUUCAGCAACUUUUCUAGAUCAUUUAUGAAUAUAUUGAAGAGCACGCAUCCCAUGGUACGUUCCUGUGUUGUACAGAUGAUCUUCUUUUCUGAGCACUAACCACUUAGUCCCAUCUUUUCUCUUAAUGAGCAAUUUUUAUUUUUAUUUAUUUUUAAAUGAGAGCACUUUUGAUGAGACACCUUGUCUGGAGACUUUCUAAAGAAAAAAGUCUGCUCAUCUACUUGUUGAUUGCCCCAGAGAAAGCUCUUCGGUAUGUGCGGAACUACUCUCUACAAAAACUGUGUUGACUUUUGCUUGUUUAAUCAUCUUUAAUCAUGGAUCUGUUCAUUUUUUCUUUCAUUAUAUUCUCAUCCAAUUUUAUUUGCUUGAAAACCAGACUUUUUGGCUUGCAACACCCAGGAGCACUUUUCAAAAUUCAGCAUGACAUUUACCCCUUUCUAUUUGUCUGGCAGCAACACAGAUUUAAGCAAUAGAUUGCACACUGCAGUUAGCAGCUUGGCAAUCUGUUUUACAAUUUUGUCACAACCCACUGAUCCUGAAUUUUCUUUACUAUUUUCCAUUCUUUCUUGUGUCUGUAUUUAUCCACCUUUUCAAGGGAAGAAGUAUUUGGUUUCUCGGUUCCUAAAAGCCCUUUGUUCAUGGUGAAAGUGGUGAAACAUGAAGAAUGACCGUGAUGUCUCAGAGUUCAUAAAAACUUAUUUGUGUGAAGAGCUUUCCAGGAAAAAUUUGACUCACCUCUUCCAUUUAAUUUUGUUUUGAUCCACGUUGUAUGUAACCUUUCUAUCAGCCAUCAAAAGCAGCCAAAAGGGUUGUUCAAUAAACUAUGAAAGAUGUCAGAUUAUCAGUACCUUUAAUGUAGGAUUUUAUUUAAUGAAUAAAGACACACGAAUUUUCUACAG
Gallus gallus (chicken) is the source of this 2638-nucleotide long non-coding RNA. The record is from Ensembl. NCBI's taxonomy places the organism in Eukaryota, Metazoa, Chordata, Aves, Galliformes, Phasianidae.